Molecule: non-coding RNA, 49 nt
Organism: Trichobilharzia regenti
Lineage: Eukaryota; Metazoa; Platyhelminthes; Trematoda; Strigeidida; Schistosomatidae
Source: Rfam
AUCCAGUUUACCAGUCCCAAAUAGGACGAAAUACGCAUCCUGGCUGGAU